Non-coding RNA from Schistosoma haematobium, 46 nucleotides. The record is from Rfam. Lineage: Eukaryota; Metazoa; Platyhelminthes; Trematoda; Strigeidida; Schistosomatidae.
ACUCAGCUGAGGAGUCCCACAGUAGGAUGAAACGCGCAUCCUGGAU